CCUACGGGAGGCAGCAGUGGGGAAUAUUGCACAAUGGGGGAAACCCUGAUGCAGCGACGCCGCGUGAGUGAAGAAGUAUUUCGGUAUGUAAAGCUCUAUCAGCAGGGAAGAAAAUGACGGCACCUGAUUAAGAAGCCCCGGCUAACUACGUGUCAGCAGCCGCGGUAAUACGUAGGGGGCAAGCGUUAUCCGGAUUUACUGGGUGUAAAGGGAGCGUAGACGGCAGCACAAGUCUGGAGUGAAAUGCCGGGGCUUAACCCCGGGACUGCUUUGGAAACUGGGCAGCUUGAGUGCAGGAGAGGUAAGCGGAAUUCCUAGUGUAGCGGUGAAAUGCGUAGAUAUUAGGAGGAACACCAGUGGCGAAGGCGGCUUACUGGACUGUAACUGACGUUGAGGCUCGAAAGCGUGGGGAGCAAACAGGAUUAGAUACCCGGGUAGUC
RNAcentral lists this ribosomal RNA (440 nucleotides) under uncultured bacterium. RNAcentral's name for it is "partial 16S ribosomal RNA". It matches the Rfam family "Bacterial small subunit ribosomal RNA", at positions 338 to 795 of the family's 1533-position model. The record is from RNAcentral.